RNAcentral lists this ribosomal RNA (464 nucleotides) under uncultured bacterium. RNAcentral describes it as "bacterial SSU rRNA". It matches the Rfam family "Bacterial small subunit ribosomal RNA", at positions 28 to 472 of the family's 1533-position model. The record is from RNAcentral.
GAUGAACGCUGGCGGCGUGCUUAACACAUGCAAGUCGAGCGAAGCACUUACCAUUGACUSUUCGGAAGAUUUGGUAAAUGACUGAGCGGCGGACGGGUGAGUAACGCGUGGGUAACCUGCCUCAUACAGGGGAAUAACAGUUAGAAAUGGCUGMUAAUKCCGCAUAAGCGCACAGUACCGCAUGGUACGGUGUGAAAAACCGAGGUGGUAUGAGAUGGACCCGCGUCUGAUUAGGUAGUUGGUGGGGUAACGGCCUACCAAGCCGACGAUCAGUAGCYGGCCUGAGAGGGUGAACGGCCACAUUGGGACUGAGACACGGCCCAGACUCCUACGGGAGGCAGCAGUGGGGAAUAUUGCACAAUGGGGGAAACCSUGAUGCAGCGACGCCGCGUGAAGGAAGAAGUAUCUCGGUAUGUAAACUUCUAUCAGCAGGGAAGAAAAUGACGKACCKACARAGAGUAGGA